Cucurbita pepo subsp. pepo (vegetable marrow) is the source of this 3491-nucleotide non-coding RNA. NCBI's taxonomy places the organism in Eukaryota, Viridiplantae, Streptophyta, Magnoliopsida, Cucurbitales, Cucurbitaceae. The record is from RefSeq and is a predicted model, not a curated record.
AUUUCUAAUUAUUGUUCUAAUAUUAUGCAAUGUCUGUCGACUUUGGUAUACUUCGUUUGAAUUGAAUUAUGGGAUAUAGAGAUGUAACCUUAUUGUCACAAUAAAUCUGUAUUGGUAUUUUCUGAAAACUUUCAAUUCUUUAACUAGUCUUCUAAUCCAUUUGCCUUCAUAGAUACCAGAGAAUGAUGCCUUAAAUUCUGUUUCAAUGCUGCUUCUGGCCACUACACUUCGUUUUUUGCUUGGUGAAUUGACUAAUUUACCUCCAACAAAGGAUAAAUAGCCAAAUGAAAGACUACUAAGUUUGAAUGGAUCUACCUCCAAUAGUAUGAACUGUAUUCACUCAAACAAAGGACAGUGCAUGAACUGAUUUACCAUGCUCACAAUGAAAGCAAUAUCACGACAUGUGUGGGACAGAUAAAUUAAUUUUCCUAUUAUGUAGCUUUCAUUUUUUCAACUUUGGCUCAAUAAGAGUCUCAACCGCCUUUAACCUAAGUAAGCGAGUCCAAUGUCCUAACCAUUGGACCAUGGGAACGUUGUUCUCCAAGGCCUUGAUUUGAAAUGCACUUGCAAGUUUUUUCUUUAAAGUGAACCAUUCUAGUUCACCAUAUCUUACUAGAAUAAUGUCAUAUACAUAGACAAUAAAAAUCACAAUUUUGUUGUUUGCAGAAUGCUUAUAAAAGAGGGUGUGAUCACCUUGACUUUGAAGAAACCCUAAGCUCAUAACCACUUUUCUAAAUUGUUCAAACCAUGUUUUGGAGAUUGUUUGAGCCCAUGUAGAGAUUUCUUUGAUCGACAUACUUUCUUCUUCUUGAGAAAAAAUUCACAACCUAGUGGUAAGCUCAUAAACGUUUCUUCUUCAAGAUCACCAUUAAGAGAAAUAUUUUUUACAUCGAGCUAGUGAAGGGACCAAUCUAAGUUUGCUUCAAUUGAUAAAAUUAUUAGGAUGGAGUUAAUUCUAGCAACAUGAACUGAAGUUUCAUUGACUUUGAAGAAACCCUAAGCUCAUAACCACUUUUCUAAAUUGUUCAAACCAUGUUUUGGAGAUUGUUUGAGCCCAUGUAGAGAUUUCUUUGAUCGACAUACUUUCUUCUUCUUGAGAAAAAAUUCACAACCUAGUGGUAAGCUCAUAAACGUUUCUUCUUCAAGAUCACCAUUAAGAGAAAUAUUUUUUACAUCGAGCUAGUGAAGGGACCAAUCUAAGUUUGCUUCAAUUGAUAAAAUUAUUAGGAUGGAGUUAAUUCUAGCAACAUGAACUGAAGUUUCAUUGACUUUGAAGAAACCCUAAGCUCAUAACCACUUUUCUAAAUUGUUCAAACCAUGUUUUGGAGAUUGUUUGAGCCCAUGUAGAGAUUUCUUUGAUCGACAUACUUUCUUCUUCUUGAGAAAAAAUUCACAACCUAGUGGUAAGCUCAUAAACGUUUCUUCUUCAAGAUCACCAUUAAGAGAAAUAUUUUUUACAUCGAGCUAGUGAAGGGACCAAUCUAAGUUUGCUUCAAUUGAUAAAAUUAUUAGGAUGGAGUUAAUUCUAGCAACAUGAACUGAAGUUUCAUGAUAGUCCAUAGGUUUGAGUGAAUCUUUUGCAAUUAGUCUGACCUUAUGUCUUCAGCAUUGCCAUAACUAUUACAUUUUAUGGUAAAAACCCAUUUAAACCCACUAGUUUCUUGUCUUUUGACAAAUCUACUAUUCCUCAUGUACAAUUAUGUCUUAGAGCAUUUAUCUCUUUCGUAAUUGUUAGUUUCUAAAUUUGGAUCAUUUAGAGCUUCCCGUUUGUUACUGGGAAUAAGGAAGUUGGUCAUCCUAGAGGUAAAAACUCUAUGACUAUUUGAAAAUUUUGAUAUGAGAUGUAGUUUACAAUAGAGUGUUGGGUGCAAGUGCAAGUUCAAGUAACUUUUCUCAAAGCAAUAUGGACAUCUAGAUAGAAACAACAAUUGGACAUUUUCAAUUGUUGGAGAGACAAGAAUGGAAGAUUGUUUGCCCAAUGUUUCAGAAUCAUUCAAAUUGGAUCUGCUCAUUUCGUUGAGUCUUCUACUAUUUGUAAUUUGGAAUAUGCACAUAAAACGAUAUGGCUCGAGCAACAUCCAAUAGAUGCCUAGUUUAUUUGCUUAGCAGUCCAUUUUGUUCUGUUGAGAGGUGUCUUUACAAGUAGAUUGAUGAACGAUGCCUUUAUCUUUUAAAAACCCACUCAAAUGUUCAUUGAAAGAUUUAGUUUCAUCAUUAGAAUGCAAAAUGCUGAUUUUUGGCUUGAAAUUGAGUUUCAGUCAUAUUUUAAAAAUCAUUUAAUCUUUUUUUGUCAAUAAAUAGACCCAAGACAAGCGAGUGUGAUUGUCAAUAAAGGUCAUGAACGUUCACUAUUAUUCACUAUGUUAGAAGGGACUUAUCCAUGUCCACUACUAUUCAAGCGUCACUAUGAAUCAAGUAAAAUAGUUUAGAGGACUCGUAAAAUUUUGGUAACUAGGGGAGUUUAGUAAUUUUAUAUUCCAAUAAUAAAAUAGUAAGAUCAGGUAAAUGGAAAAAAUAAUAGUAAGAUCUAUAGUCUUCUAUUUUGGGGGAAAACCCCAAUAAAGAAGAAUAAGAAUAAGAAUAAAACCUUUAAUGAUUACACAACUAAAAUAUUUACAACUAAUAUAAAUCAACAAGGGCAUCAUGGUUUCUUUGAAUAGAAAGAGACCACUCUUCGGUAGUAAUCCUAGGUCUAUAAAUAGUCUUUUGGAAUAUAUUCUUUUUGUUGGAUUAUUGAGGGUGUGAGUUUGGUAAAUAGAUUUUGAUGUUACUAUUUUGACCUAGCUUAUGACAAUAAUGACUCAACAUUGAAUUUGGUUUUCGAGUGUUGAGAAUUCCCUGGGAGAUGUUUGAUCCUGCCCCUCUGUUACCUUUGUAAUUAUUUGUUUGUCCAGCCAAACCACUGUUAGGCUUAGAUGAUAGGAUCAUUUACGAGUUCUCUGUACGAAGUAUUUUAGUAUAAGCUUCCUCCAACAUGAAUUCCUUUUGAGAUGUUUGAUCCUACUCCUCUAUUAUCCUAGAAACGAUCACUAGCUUGCUAAAAUUCAAUUUCACCACUUCUUCGUUUUUUUUUUCUUUUUUUACCCACAGAGAAUAUGAAGAUGACAAUGCCUCUUGAAUACUUGAGGAAUCUUUUGAGAUCUCAGAGGUGGCCAAACAAUACAAUUGAUGAACCAACGUGUGACAAACUUUGUUUUGAUAGACGAAUUGUACCACUUUCAUAUCUGACUUGCUUGAAGAAAGAAGAUCCAAGAUAUCAACGAGAUAACCUUCCUACCAAUGCAAAUGGGUUAAAGCAAGGGGAAUAAUCCUCUUUAUUUUUUCAUAUCUUCACCAAAAAACCCCAUCAUCAAACCAAAUGCUGAAGUAUUUAUUAUCAAUACAACAACUUCUUUCUUCCAUGACAAAUCAUGGCAAAAGUGAGAAGAUAAAACCAAUGCCCAAAGGAUCACUAAAGCUAAGAGUGAAAUGAAAAAAAAAAAAAAAAAAAA